RNAcentral lists this ribosomal RNA (433 nucleotides) under uncultured bacterium. RNAcentral describes it as "partial 16S ribosomal RNA". It matches the Rfam family "Bacterial small subunit ribosomal RNA", at positions 29 to 507 of the family's 1533-position model. The record is from RNAcentral.
AACGAACGCUGGCGGCAUGCCUAACACAUGCAAGUCGAACGAGACCUUCGGGUAUAGUGGCGCACGGGUGCGUAACGCGUGGGAACCUGCCCUUAGGUUCGGAAUAACUCCCCGAAAGGGGUGCUAAUACCGGAUAAUGUCUUCGGACCAAAGAUUUAUCGCCUUUGGAUGGGCCCGCGUUGGAUUAGCUAGUUGGUAGGGUAAAAGCCUACCAAGGCGACGAUCCAUAGCUGGUCUGCGAGGAUGAUCAGCCACACUGGAACUGAAACACGGUCCAAAAUACUACGGGAAGAAGCAGGGGGGAAUAAUGGAAAAUGGGGCAAAGCAUGAACCAAGAAUGAAGCGUGGGUGAUGAAAGAAGUAUGGUUCUAAAGCAAUUUUAUCAGGGAAGAUAAUGACGGUAUCGGGAGAAUAAGCUCCGGCUAACUACGUG